UUAGAGUUUGAUCCCGGGCUCAGGACGAACGCUGGCGGCAUGCCUAAUACAUGCAAGUCGAACGCUGAAGCACUCUGCUUGCAGAGUGCGGAUGAGUGGCGAACGGGUGAGUAACACGUGGGAAAUCUGCCUAGGAGUGGGGGAUAACAUUCGGAAACGGAUGCUAAUACCGCAUAUCUUUUUGAACCGCAUGGUUCUUAAACGAAAGACGGCUUCGGCUGUCGCUCUUAGAUGAUCCCGCGGCGUAUUAGUUAGUUGGUGGGGUAAAGGCCUACCAAGACCAUGAUACGUAGCCGACCUGAGAGGGUGAUCGGCCACACUGGGACUGAGACACGGCCCAGACUCCUACGGGAGGCAGCAGUAGGGAAUCUUCCACAAUGGGUGAAAACCUGAUGGAGCAAUGCCGCGUGAAUGAAGAAGGUCUUCGGAUCGUAAAGUUCUGUUAUUAGAGAAGAACAAGUCAAGGAGUAACUGUCUUGACUUUGACGGUACCUAACCAGAAAGUCACGGCUAACUACGUGCCAGCAGCCGCGGUAAUACGUAGGUGACAAGCGUUGUCCGGAAUUAUUGGGCGUAAAGGGAGCGCAGGCGGUUGGAAUAGUCUGAUGUGAAAGUCCACGGCUUAACCGUGGAAGGUCAUUGGAAACUGUCCAACUUGAAUGCAGAAGAGGUAAGUGGAAUUCCAUGUGUAGCGGUGAAAUGCGUAGAUAUGUGGAGGAACACCAGUGGCGAAAGCGACUUACUGGUCUGUAAUUGACGCUGAGGCUCGAAAGCGUGGGUAGCGAACAGGAUUAGAUACCCUGGUAGUCCACGCUGUAAACGAUGAGUGCUAAGUGUUAGGGGGUUUCCGCCCCUUAGUGCUGGAGUUAACGCAUUAA
Molecule: ribosomal RNA, 878 nt
Filed under: uncultured bacterium
Lineage: Bacteria
Description: bacterial SSU rRNA
Rfam family: Bacterial small subunit ribosomal RNA
Source: RNAcentral